AGUGAACGCUGGCGGUAGGCCUAACACAUGCAAGUCGAACGGCAGCACAGUAAGAGCUUGCUCUUACGGUUGGCGAGUGGCGGACGGGUGAGGAAUACAUCGGAAUCUACUUUUUCGUGGGGGAUAACGUAAGAAAACUUACGCUAAUACCGCAUACGACCUACGGGUUAAAGCAGUGGAGCUUCGGACCUUUCGCGAUUGAAUGAGCCGAUGUCGGAUUAGCUAGGUGGCUGGGUAAAGGCCCACCAAGGCGACGAUCCGUUGCCGGUCUGAGAAGAUUGAUCAGCCAAACGGGACCUGAGAAAGGGCCAAGCUUCCUAGGGGAGGAAGAAGUGGGGAAUAUUGGAAAAUGGGCGCAAGCCUGCGCCAGCCAGACGGCGUGGGUGUAGAAGGCCUUCGGGUUGUAAAGUCCUUUUGUUGGGAAAGAAAAGCAGCAGGUUAAUAACCCGCUGUUCUGACGGUACCAAAAGAAUAAGCACCGGCAAAUUUCGU
This 492-nucleotide ribosomal RNA is filed under the name uncultured bacterium. Its description in RNAcentral is "partial 16S ribosomal RNA". It matches the Rfam family "Bacterial small subunit ribosomal RNA", at positions 29 to 506 of the family's 1533-position model. The record is from RNAcentral.